GGAUGCGAUCACACCAGCACUAAAGCACCGGAUCCCGUCAG
This 41-nucleotide ribosomal RNA is filed under the name Triticum aestivum (bread wheat). Its description in RNAcentral is "partial rRNA". Lineage: Eukaryota; Viridiplantae; Streptophyta; Magnoliopsida; Poales; Poaceae. The record is from RNAcentral.